This 633-nucleotide ribosomal RNA is filed under the name uncultured Tomentella. RNAcentral's name for it is "eukaryotic LSU rRNA". The stretch from base 216 to 370 matches the Rfam family "5.8S ribosomal RNA". The record is from RNAcentral. Lineage: Eukaryota; Fungi; Basidiomycota; Agaricomycetes; Thelephorales; Thelephoraceae.
GAAGGAUCAUUACUGAACCGUCGACACGAGUUGUUGCUGGCCCUCAAAAGGGGGCACGUGCACGCUCUGUUUACACAUCCACUCACACCUGUGCACCCUCUGUAGUUCUAUGGCCUUGGGGACUCUGUCCCCUUGCUGUGGUCCUACGUCUUUACACACACACACACCGUAUAAAGUCUCAUGGAAUGUAUGUCGCGUUUAACGCAAUACAAUACAACUUUCAGCAACGGAUCUCUUGGCUCUCGCAUCGAUGAAGAACGCAGCGAAAUGCGAUAAGUAAUGUGAAUUGCAGAAUUCAGUGAAUCAUCGAAUCUUUGAACGCACCUUGCGCCCUUUGGCUAUUCUGAAGGGCAUGCCUGUUUGAGUAUCAUGAACACCUCAACUCUCAUGGUCUGCCAUGAUGAGCUUGGACUCUGGGGGUCUUGCUGGCCUAGCGUCGGCUCCUCUCAAAUGGAUCAGCUUGCCAGUGUUUGGUGGCAUCACGGGUGUGAUAACUAUCUACGCUUGUGGUUUUCCACCAUGUAAUCUUCAGCAAUGGAGGUUCGCUGGAGCUCACAGAUGUCUCUCCUCGGCGAGGACAGCUUUUUGAACGUUUGAUCUCAAAUCAGGUAGGACUACCCGCUGAACUUAAGC